This is a non-coding RNA of Pelobates cultripes (western spadefoot toad), 1425 nucleotides long. NCBI's taxonomy places the organism in Eukaryota, Metazoa, Chordata, Amphibia, Anura, Pelobatidae. The record is from the annotation of a GenBank genome assembly.
GAAAAGUCCUGACAAGAUUGUUAAGCCUAUAAGCAAUGCUAUUGUUAUUUUUGAAAACAAUGUCCUUUAUAAUCUAUGUGGGUCUGAAACUAAUUCUGCCCCUUGUACUGGUAGAUUGAAAGCUUUUUGUUGGAAACCCUUAUUAGAAGAUAUUUUGACAAAAUGUCCCAUCAAGGAUAGAAUCCCGGUGAUUACUAAUCAUGUAUGGGUAAAUUUGACUUCUGAGGUAGAAAUCAUGGAUAAUAAUUAUGACCAGAAUGAACAUUUAAAUGUCACUAUUUUGAGAUGGGCCUACUUUAAUACUCAAACUUCCAAUCUUUUUAUGCUACUGCCCUAUAUUAAUCAACCUAUUUUUGACUGCUCAGAUUCUCGUGUUAUUGAUAUUCAUCUUCCAUUUGGGGUAUACUAUUUAUGUGGUAGUUGGGCGGUAAAAAGACUUCCAUGUAAUUGGGUGGAAACUUGUUAUCUAGGUAAUAUUAUCCCAGCGUUAACCCUUCAUGAAAAUUUGCCUGCAGGAAGGGUGAGGAAUAAAAGAAAGGUUAUUAGUUCCAAAAAAAGAUAAAACCGAAAGAACUGUAAAAUCUGGUGAAGGAGAUACGCUAUUUGCAGGUUUUGUACCUAAAGGGGGGGUUAUUGAAUUAAUGUACAAAUUAAACUUGUUAGGAGAUAUACUAGAUGAAGCCUUUAAUAAUACAGGAGAUGCUAUUGAAAAAUUGUCUGCAGAACAGGAACAAGCUUCAGCUAUGAUUAUGCAAAAUAGGUUUGCCCUAGAUUAUUUGUUGGCCUCCAAAGGUGGUGUUUGUGCACUAAUAAAAACAAGAUGUCGUUUAAAGAUAGAUAAUGUUACUGGUCAGAUUCAUACAGAUGGAGAUAAAAUGCAUGAAGUACAAAUUAAACUUAGAGAAGUUCACGAUACUUCUUCGGGAGGUUUAAAUUGGGGUUUUGACUGGAGUUUUGGUUUAACUAAUUGGUUGGGAACAAUGGGAAAACGUAUUCUCAUUGGAGUUAUUUUAGUAGUAUUGAUGCUUGUGUUUAUUUAUGUUGCAGUGAAUGUCCUAAAGUGUUCAUGCCGAUUAAUCCUCAAGAGCUGUUCACCUUCAUCUCCCCCUGGCACAAUUUCGAAUGUUGAAAUGUCUCCUAUCCGGUCACAACUCAUACCGACUUGGAAUACAGACAUGCUUUCUCGUGAAGAUAUUGAUCGUGUGCGCAUCUAUUUGGAAAGUCCUGCAAGUGCUGUUUAAAAUCACUAGCUCACUGAAUGACCUUCGCUAAACAUGGAAGUGUUGCACGGAGCUUUUUGUGGUGAAAGUCCUAGCACCAAAGGGAGGACUGUGAACAUAUGAAACCUGCUACUGACAUGCUGUCAGCCAUUUUGCUGUUUAUUCAUCAUCUUAAAAUAUAAUCAAAGAAGAAAAUUUACUCUAA